AUGACUCAAAAGCGUCCCAGUUCCCACUAUGAUAGUGUCCUGGGAUCGCAGCUUCUUUCCAGAAGAAGUGAGAGUGCUUCACUAAAUUAUGUAUACCAGCCACCUUUAGCGUUUGAAGAUUGGUCAUGUGAUAGCAAAAGGAAACAAAGACAAUAUGAUAAGGAGACUAAACAGGACAUUAUCCCUCAUCCACUCCCUGAGAUCUUGAGCCUCUCUGGCAUCCACAGGAAGUCAAGGAACCCAGUGAAUUCCUAUAGGGGAUGAUUCCUUAUAGGAAUCCUUAUAGGGAUUCCUAUAAGUGAAUUCCUAUAAGGCUCUUACCCCGAAAAUUUAUAGAAAUAUCUAUAAUGCCUCAGUUUCCCAAACCCCGUGACCAGAGAAAGUGGGCUACCAUCGGGUGAAGAUGGAGAGAGCACAGAGGCCAUGCUAUCUUUCAGCUUAUGGGGCUUCUUUCCAAGUUUGCAAAUUGCAGGACUCAAUCUGUUUAUAAAAAAACAUUACCUGGAGGAGAUAACAUAUCUUCAUCUUUAUUUGGGGAGGCUGUAUAGCAUAAAGGUUUAAAAGGCCAAAACUCUGGGAUACCCGGGUGGCUCAGUGGUUGAGAGUCUGCCUUUGGCUCAGGGUUGAUCUUGGGGUCCUGAGAUUGAGUCCCGCACCGGGCACCGCAUGGAGCCUGCUUCUCCCUCUGCCUGUGUCUCUGCCCCUCUCUCUGUGUCUUUCAUGAAUACACAAUAACAUCUUUAAAAAAACAAUAAAAAAUAAAUAAAAAACAAAAGGCCAAAACUCUGGCACCGAAGUAUUUGGAAUUAAAUCCCAGCUUCCCCACCUACUAGCUGUUUAACCAGGUCUCUGUCUCUCAGAUUCCACAUCUGAAAACUGCUAAGAGGAUGGCAACCAUUACAUCUACCUCACAGGGUUGUCACAGGAAUUCUAUAAAAUGCUCAGCACAGAGCACAUAGUAAGGGCUACAUGAGCGUUGUUGUUAAAUAUAAACACAACAUGUUAUUUCCCAGGAGUCCACCUAAGUCCAGUGGGCGCUCUUCACCACUCAGAUUUGUUCCUCAUCCCAGGUCCCUCUGGACUUACAUAAGACACUAACAAUCAUCUUCAUAAUGAAUGACAUGAGGACAUAAGGACUCUCGUUUGGGUAGCCUGCCAGUAGAAUAGAUAAAAAGAUAAAUUUUUAAAAAGGACUCUAGAAUUUCUUUCUUCCCGCAACACCGAACAGCAGGGAGAGAAAACUAUAAAGCCUUGUGUCGGGACUGGAGCCCUGGGAAGGCCAGCAGGUCCAGGAUGUCACAGCUGCCCCCCGCAGUCUCUCCGUGUACAAGGACAUAGGGUUGUGCAACACGCACAUUCGAGUUGCAAGGUGACAGCAAGAGCAGCCCUCCAGGGGUCACGCCAACAAGGCAUUUUUAAGAUCACUUGUUAUUUGAAAUCCUCUAAAGCAGAACAGCAGCAGUAUCUAAAAUGCGUGCCUCAGCAAGCUGACGGUCACUGUCCUGGCAUGGCUCUGUCCCCACCCCAUGAUGGCAGGACCACGACAGGAAACUUGGAGCCCUCAACUAUAGAAAUAGGGAAGGACUUGAAGCACAAGCCAGUGAUCAGCACUCUCUGAUGACGACAGGGCUGACAAAAUCUUAGAAGCACCAGGUUUUAAUGCCAAUCUGCCUUCCAGUCUCAUCGAACACACUUGAAUCAGGGGAGGGGUCUUUCUCUCCAGACUGCCAGCAACAGUCUUUUCUGGCUUUAGAUCCAUGUGAGCCU
RNAcentral lists this long non-coding RNA (1767 nucleotides) under Canis lupus familiaris (dog). RNAcentral's name for it is "lncRNA (ENSCAFG00040011731.1)". Lineage: Eukaryota; Metazoa; Chordata; Mammalia; Carnivora; Canidae. The record is from RNAcentral.